CUAUGGACUGGCCUGUCCUGCCUCCCCACUUCAAGUGCCUGCUAUGCUUGUGGCAGUGGGGAGAUCAGUCCUCCCUGCCGAGACGCUGGUGGGACCUACCCCUCCCACAUCCGGGAUGGCGAUCUUCUCAUCCAGCAUUAAGAGGCCCCAGCCAGGAUCGCAGGCCCACGGUGCUAGGCGCUGCACAUGCACAUGGCAAGAGGCACUCCCAGCUGAAGAGCUCGCAGUAAGAGAUACGACAAAGGAAGGACCAUUGCCCCCAUUUUAGAGAUGGGAACGGGCUCAAACUGUUCUGUGAUUUGGCUGCUGUUACACAC
This is a long non-coding RNA of Mauremys reevesii (Reeves's turtle), 317 nucleotides long. RefSeq lists it as uncharacterized. The transcript is spliced from 2 exons. The record is from RefSeq and is a predicted model, not a curated record. NCBI's taxonomy places the organism in Eukaryota, Metazoa, Chordata, Testudines, Geoemydidae.